RNAcentral lists this long non-coding RNA (813 nucleotides) under Gallus gallus (chicken). RNAcentral's name for it is "long non-coding RNA NONGGAT005790". Lineage: Eukaryota; Metazoa; Chordata; Aves; Galliformes; Phasianidae. The record is from RNAcentral.
GGCGUCGGAGCGGCCACAAGAUGGCGUCGCAAGCCUGUCUGCGAGAGGCGCGCGGCCGCGGCGGCUGGCGGUGCUGAGGGGGGGCGCGCGGCCGUGUUGGCACGCGCCGCAGCCGUUAGGACUCGCGGCCCCGCCCAGCCCUCAGCGCCUCACGGUAGAUGGAGGCGGUGGUGCCACGCUUGGACGCGGUAGCCGAAGCGAAUGCAAAUGAGCAAAUCCAAAAGCGACAGAGUUAGUGAUUUUUCCAGUCGUGUCCUCGUCGCAGUGUUUGUACUUUACAUGCGGUUAUAAUACUGGUGAUUGUACAUUAUGCUUGCUCUGUGCUUCCAUAGUACGCUUGCUCAGGGGAGGAGUCUUACUGACCUAUAGGUGUGAUUUUUGGUAUCAUAAUGCAGGAGGCUGGUGGGACAGGAUAUGAAGGAAAACAUUUCCAUUCUGGCGGAAGCUUUGUAGAAGGAGAGGAAGGCUGCUUGUGUGCCUGCAUAACUCUCAGAAAGAAAAAAGUAGUGCUGAGGAGGGUGAUACCCAUCAGGAGCAAGGAAAGAAUCACAGAACUAUUACGCUUGGAACAGACCUCUAAGAUCAUCUAGUCUGACCAUAAACUCAUCAUCAGAGAUUUGCAUGGCUUAUCCAUCUGGACUCCAAGGGAAACAUCCAGACUCUGAACUGAGGAUGACAGAAAGCUGAUGCUAGAGAAAGUGAACUUUCAGCUGUAACCUCCUUGUGAUUCGUGGCAAUAAAACAAGGUAAUACAGUGGAAAAAGUACACAUCUAUAUACUUUUUUGUGUUACCUGAUUUCUUUGGGACUAUUA